RNAcentral lists this ribosomal RNA (1306 nucleotides) under Microbacterium barkeri. Its description in RNAcentral is "bacterial SSU rRNA". It matches the Rfam family "Bacterial small subunit ribosomal RNA", at positions 57 to 1364 of the family's 1533-position model. Lineage: Bacteria; Bacillati; Actinomycetota; Actinomycetes; Micrococcales; Microbacteriaceae. The record is from RNAcentral.
GGAAGCUGAGUUGAUCUUGGCUAGGAGUCGUACAGGGUAAGUUUGGUCCUGGGUGGGAAUCCUAAAAAGGUAAAAGUUUACCUGCCCCUGACUCUGGGAUAACAGGCGGAAACGGUUGCUAAUACCGGAUAUGCAUCAUGGCCGCAUGGUCUGUGGUGGGAAAGAUUUUUCGGUUGGGGAUGGGCUCGCGGCCUAUCAGCUUGUUGGUGAGGUAGUGGCUCACCAAGGCGUCGACGGGUAGCCGGCCUGAGAGGGUGACCGGCCACACUGGGACUGAGACACGGCCCAGACUCCUACGGGAGGCAGCAGUGGGGAAUAUUGCACAAUGGGCGGAAGCCUGAUGCAGCAACGCCGCGUGAGGGAUGACGGCCUUCGGGUUGUAAACCUCUUUUAGCAGGGAAGAAGCGUAAGUGACGGUACUGCAGAAAAAGCGCCGGCUAACUACGUGCCAGCAGCCGCGGUAAUACGUAGGGCGCAAGCGUUAUCCGGAAUUAUUGGGCGUAAAGAGCUCGUAGGCGGUUUGUCGCGUCUGCUGUGAAAACCCGAGGCUCAACCUCGGGCCUGCAGUGGGUACGGGCAGACUAGAGUGCGGUAGGGGAGAUUGGAAUUCCUGGUGUAGCGGUGGAAUGCGCAGAUAUCAGGAGGAACACCGAUGGCGAAGGCAGAUCUCUGGGCCGUUACUGACGCUGAGGAGCGAAAGGGUGGGGAGCAAACAGGCUUAGAUACCCUGGUAGUCCACCCCGUAAACGUUGGGAACUAGUUGUGGGGGCCUUUCCACGGUCUCCGUGACGCAGCUAACGCAUUAAGUUCCCCGCCUGGGGAGUACGGCCGCAAGGCUAAAACUCAAAGGAAUUGACGGGGACCCGCACAAGCGGCGGAGCAUGCGGAUUAAUUCGAUGCAACGCGAAGAACCUUACCAAGGCUUGACAUACACCGGAAACGUCUGGAAACAGUCGCCCCUUUUUGGUCGGUGUACAGGUGGUGCAUGGUUGUCGUCAGCUCGUGUCGUGAGAUGUUGGGUUAAGUCCCGCAACGAGCGCAACCCUCGUUCUAUGUUGCCAGCACGUUAUGGUGGGAACUCAUGGGAUACUGCCGGGGUCAACUCGGAGGAAGGUGGGGAUGACGUCAAAUCAUCAUGCCCCUUAUGUCUUGGGCUUCACGCAUGCUACAAUGGCCGGUACAAAGGGCUGCAAUACCGUGAGGUGGAGCGAAUCCCAAAAAGCCGGUCCCAGUUCGGAUUGAGGUCUGCAACUCGACCUCAUGAAGUCGGAGUCGCUAGUAAUCGCAGAUCAGCAUUGAUGCGGUG